Long non-coding RNA from Vicia villosa (hairy vetch), 1207 nucleotides. RefSeq lists it as uncharacterized. NCBI's taxonomy places the organism in Eukaryota, Viridiplantae, Streptophyta, Magnoliopsida, Fabales, Fabaceae. The record is from RefSeq and is a predicted model, not a curated record. The transcript has 3 exons.
AAAAAAACCAAAAGCUAAAUCUUCCCCUACUGAUUCACGUAAGAGAAAGACAUAGGGAAGUGGAGAAAAAAGAAUCUCAUCAUUAUCACCAUAGUUCAUUCAUUUAAAACAAAACCUCUUCUCUUUCAUAAAAGAAACUCUUAUUUUUUAUAUAAAAAAACAGUAAGCAUAAGAUAGAAAAAGAAAAACCAACAUGGUGGAGCUCAAGAACAGAAUGGUGGAGCACACAAACUCACGGCGGCUCGCAUAAAGCUCAUGGCGGCCGGAGCUUCUCCGGCGCGGAGGCCGGAGGUGGAAGUUUCCAGAAUCGUGAAAAAUUUACAUUGUUCUGUUCGGUUUCCUCUCCUCAGUUCAAAUAUCAGUGCAGGUAACACGAAAGUAAAGAGGAAUUCGGGUUCAGAAGGAGGUUCUCAACCUUUUGAGUCAAAGAAACCAAGGAACGGUGGCGGUUGAGAGCUCCGGCACGGUGGCAGAGGAUUUUCGGCGGUGGUUACUGGCGGGUUUUCAGUUUCCGGUCAGUUGAAAGAAAAGCAUGGAUGAAAUCUUAAAGAUUAUUGAGCUUGGAAGAUUCAAAGGAAGACAUGAGCAUGGACAUGGAGAAAUGUUGAAGAAAAUGGUGUGGACUUGGAAUAUUUUGAAUUUUUCCUUAUGUAAACAUAAUGAUGUAACUUUGAGAAUCCGUCCACCUUGUAAUUUGGAAUGAGUUAUGAACUUGAAUGGACUUUCUUGGAUUUGAAGCUUCGAAAUUUGUAUGUUGAAUGAUCAUAGAAUUGAAACUCUUACAUCUUGAAUGGAAACUUUGGAAUCAAAUCAUGAAUUGGAUUUUUUUUUUUAUGAAAUGAGAACUUGCACUAAUCCUUAAGAACUUGGUUUUCAACUCCAAAUAAUUCAAUUUGCAUGAUUUCUUCAUCUCGAAUUAAAUUCUUGAACAAAAUAAAUGCUCAAAAAUUCAAUAUCAUUUGACUGAACUUGAACACUCUUGAAUUGAUUCUUAACCACUUGACAAUCAUCACCACAAUAAUAAAGUCUUGAUUCAAACCUCUGAACCCUGAUGAGAAAAAUCACCUGAACUUCUUGAUCCUCAGACCCUAUCUGAUAAAGAAACAAAAAUAAAAACUAUUUUUUGAAUUUUGAUUAAUGGUUAGUGAAACAUAAUAACUAAAAAUGAAUAGAAAUAUGAUCAAAGAUGUGCCUGGUGAUUCCCUUG